Molecule: ribosomal RNA, 489 nt
Filed under: uncultured bacterium
Lineage: Bacteria
Description: bacterial SSU rRNA
Rfam family: Bacterial small subunit ribosomal RNA
Source: RNAcentral
GACGAACGCUGGCGGCGCGCCUAACACAUGCAAGUCGAACGAGGUCUUUUAGAAGCUUGCUUCUGGCUGACCUAGUGGCGGACGGGUGAGUAACACGUGAGCAACCUGCCCUUCAGUGGGGGAUAACGUUUGGAAACGAACGCUAAUACCGCAUGAUAUCAUCGGAUGGCAUCAUUUGAUGAUCAAAGGAUUUAUUCGCUGAAGGAUGGGCUCGCGCCCGAUUAGAUAGUUGGUGAGGUAAUGGCUCACCAAGUCUGCGAUCGGUAGCCGGACUGAGAGGUUGAUCGGCCACAUUGGGACUGAGACACGGCCCAGACUCCUACGGGAGGCAGCAGUGGGGAAUAUUGCACAAUGGGGGAAACCCUGAUGCAGCGACGCCGCGUGAGUGAAGACGGUCUUCGGAUUGUAAAGCUCUGUUGACAGGGACGAUAAUGACGGUACCUGUCGAGGAAGCCACGGCUAACUACGUGCCAGCAGCCGCUGUAAAAC